Non-coding RNA from Oreochromis niloticus (Nile tilapia), 399 nucleotides. Lineage: Eukaryota; Metazoa; Chordata; Actinopteri; Cichliformes; Cichlidae. The record is from the annotation of a RefSeq genome assembly.
AUGGUGGUUGUGCUUUCUGCUGUGUUGACUGACAGAUGUUUCAUUCCUUUCUUCUUUAUCUUCUUCCCCCUCUUCUCCACCUUUUCUCCUCCAGUGGGUGUGGUGAGGCCCACUCUGACCGUGCUCCCACACCAGAGCAGUGGCACUCUGGUGUGUCUGGCCACCGGGGGUUUCCCAUCAAAUUGGAAGCUGGGCUGGAAGGUGGGGGGCACCAGCACAUCCUCAGGGUUGUCAAACAGCUUGGAGGCCCAGGGUACAGACGGUCGCUACAGCUGGAGCAGCACCCUGAGCCUCUCUGCAGAUGAGUGGAGCAAGGCGGGCUCAGUGAGCUGUGAGGCCAGUCUGAGUGGACAGAGCCCUGUCACUCAAACCCUGGACCCUGACCAGUGCUUAGACUAG